GAAUAAAGACAUUAAAUGUCAUAUUAUGUGCAAAUAGUUCAAGUACAAAAGAGAAAAUAAAUAAGCAUAAAUAUGGGUUGUAUUUACAAUGGUGUUUGUUCUUCACUGGUUGCCCUUUUCUUGUGGCAACAGGUCACGAAUCGUUCUGCUGUGAUGGCACACUGUGGUAUUUCACCCAGUAGAUAUGGGAGUUUAUCAAAAUUGGGUUUGUUUUCUAAUUCUUUGUGUAUCUGUGUAAUAACACCCACAGCAUUAUGCAAUGUUAAAGCUACCUGAGUAGAUAGACAGAUCAGCAGAGGUACCCCCCAUCACCCACACCCCAGUAUGCCUUGUACUCAAAGAUAAGAGUCCUGUCACACACACCCAGCCAUCUCCUCCAGCUAUCUCUAUAAUGGUAAGAGUCCUUUCCUCUCCACCCGGCCGUCUCUAGCUAUCUCUAUAAUGGUAAGAGUCCUUUCCCCUCCACCCGGCCGUCUCUAGCUAUCUCUAUAAUGAUAAGAGUCCUUUCCUCUCCACCCGGCCGUCUCCUCCAGCUAUCUCUAUAAUGUUACAGUAAUUUCCUCUCCACCCCGCCGUCUCUAGCUAUCUCUAUAAUGGUAAGAGUCCUUUCCCCUCCACCCGGCAGUCUCCUCCAGCUAUCUCUAUAAUGGUAAGAGUCCUUUCCUCUCCACCCGGCCGUCUCCUCCAGCUAUCUCUAUAAUGGUUAGUCCUUUCCUCUCCACCAGGCCAUCUCCUCCAGCUAUCUCUAUAAUGUUACAGUAAUUUCCUCUCCACCCGGCCGUCUCCUCCAGCUAUCUCUAUAAUGGUAAGAGUCCUUUCCUCUCCACCAGGCCAUCUCCUCCAGCUAUCACUAUAAUGGUAAGAGUCCUUUCCUCUCCACCCCGCCGUCUCUAGCUAUCUCUAUAAUGGUAAGAGUCCUUUCCUCUCCACCCGGCCGUCUCCUCCAGCUGUCUCUAUAAUGGUAAGAGUCCUUUCCUCUCCACCUGGCCGUCUCCUCCAGCUAUCUCUAUAAUGGUUAGUCCUUUCCUCUCCACCAGGCCAUCUCCUCCAGCUAUCUCUAUAAUGUUACAGUAAUUUCCUCUCCACCAGGCCAUCUCCUCCAGCUAUCUCUAUAAUGGUAAGAGUCCUUUCCUCUCCACCUGGCCAUCUCCUCCAGCUAUCUCUAUAAUGGUAAGAGUCCUUUCCUCUCCACCCGGCCGUCUCCUCCAGCUAUCUCUAUAAUGGUAAGAGUCCUUUCCUCUCCACCAGGCCAUCUCCUCCAGCUAUCACUAUAAUGGUAAGAGUCCUUUCCUCUCCACCCGGCCGUCUCCUCCAGCUAUCUCUAUAAUGGUAAGAGUCCUUUCCUCUCCACCCGGCAGUCUCCUCCAGCUAUCUCUAUAAUGGUAAGAGUCCUUUCCUCUCCACCCGGCCGUCUCCUCCAGCUAUCUCUAUAAUGGUAAGAGUCCUUUCCUCUCCACCCGGCAGUCUCCUCCAGCUAUCUCUAUAAUGGUAAGAGUCCUUUCCUCUCCACCCGGCCGUCUCCUCCAGCUGUCUCUAUAAUGGUAAGAGUCCUUUCCUCUCCACCCGGCCGUCUCCUCCAGCUGUCUCUAUAAUGGUAAGAGUCCUUUCCCCUCUACCCGGCCAUCUCCUCCAGCUAUCUCUAUAAUGGUAAGAGUCCUUUCCCCUCCACCCGGCCAUCUCCUCCAGCUAUCUCUAUAAUGGUAAGAGUCCUUUCCUCUCCACCUGGCCAUCUCCUCCAGCUAUCUCUAUGAUGGUAAGAGUCCUUUCCUCUCCACCUGGCCAUCUCCUCCAGCUAUCUCUAUAAUGGUAAGAGUCCUUUCCUCUCCACCUGGCCGUCUCCUCCAGCUAUCUCUAUAAUGGUAAGAGUCCUUUCCUCUCCACCUGGCCGUCUCCUCCAGCUAUCUCUAUAAUGGUAAGAGUCCUUUCCUCUCCACCUGGCCGUCUCCUCCAGCUGUCUCUAUAAUAGCUCUGCUUUGUCUUUUUAAAAUGGCAGCUGGAACCCACAGGCUUCCCAACAUUCCACUACUCCAAACUGAUUGGCUCUUCAUUAAAAUAUGGACUAUAUGCAAACCACAGUUUGGGAACAAUCACUGUGGUAGAUUUACUUUGUUUCAAUGGUGAGCCAGAGGAGAUUUCAUCAUAUGGUCAUGUCCAAAUUACAUAAUUUGAGAAUAAGAUGCAAAGUUGAUCUGAAGACAAAGUUCGAGUCCUUUCCAUUUUGAACAAUCACUACAUUCCCUGUGUAUGUAGCAGACCGGUGCUGAACACAUUCCCUGCGUAGGUAGCAGACCGUUGCGUUGCUGAACACAUUCACUGCGUAGGUAGCAGACCGGUGCUGAACACAUUCCCUGCGUAGGUAGCAGACCGGUGCUGAACACAUUCCCUGCAUAGGUAGCAGACCAGUGCUGAACACAUUCCCUGCAUAGGUAGCAAACCGGUGCUGAACACAUUCCCUGUGUAGGUAGCAGACCGGUGCUGAACACAUUCCCUGUGUAAGUAGCAGACCGUUGCUGAACACAUUCCCUGCGUAGGUAGCAGACCGGUGCUGAACACAUUCCCUGCGUAGGUAGCAGACCGGUGCUGAACACAUUCCCUGCGUAGGUAGCAGACCGUUGCUGAACACAUUCCCUGCGUAGGUAGCAGACCGGUGCUGAACACAUUCCCUGUGUAGGUAGCAGACCGGUGCUGAACACAUUCCCUGCGGAUUUAGCAGACCGGUGCUGAACACAUUCCCUGCGUAGGUAGCAGACCGGUGCUGAACACAUUCCCUGCGUAGGUAGCAGACCGGUGCUGAACACAUUCCCUGUGUAGGUAGCAGACCGGUGCUGAACACAUUCCCUGCGUAGGUAGCAGACCGGUGCUGAACACAUUCCCUGUGUAGGUAGCAGACCGGUGCUGAACACUGACAUAGUGAUUGGAGAGACAGACUAUAGAUCCUAGACAGUGUUUUACUACCAGAAACAGGGACAGUUCACCCUCAACUCCUACAAAAAUGUUCAUUAAUUAUAAUCUACAAAAUCAUAAAAAUUUCCUGUUGCUUAAAUUAAGAUCCUACAUUUCUACAUAUAUGAAAUUAGAAGAUUUAUUUCCCUUAGUUAUGUAUAUUAAAACAAUAAUGUUGAAAUUGAAUUGACUCUCUGUUUUUAAUUUGUUGCCAGUCUGUGGAUAAGGACCAUGUGAUCAGUGAGUAUCCAAUUUCAAAAAGUUUGUCCAGCCAUUGGUAGUGGAGACCAUACAAAGGACUGUGCAUCGUGGAGCAAAAAUGGCAAACUACAGCGAUAUGAUAUAGACAAUAGACUUCUUCUAGAGUUUGCUGAGUGAGUAGUGGUUGACA
Salmo salar (Atlantic salmon) is the source of this 3334-nucleotide non-coding RNA. NCBI's taxonomy places the organism in Eukaryota, Metazoa, Chordata, Actinopteri, Salmoniformes, Salmonidae. The record is from RefSeq and is a predicted model, not a curated record.